RNAcentral lists this ribosomal RNA (2022 nucleotides) under human gut metagenome. RNAcentral describes it as "bacterial LSU rRNA". It matches the Rfam family "Bacterial large subunit ribosomal RNA", at positions 14 to 2059 of the family's 2925-position model. The record is from RNAcentral.
AGAGCAAAGGGUGAAUGCCUUGGCAUCAAGAACCGAAGAAGGACGUAGAAAGCUGCGAAAAGCCACGAGGAGACGCACACAGUCAGAGAAUCGUGGAUAUCCGAAUGGGGGAACCUAGCAGAGUAAAGCUCUGUUACUAUAUACUGAAUAAAUAGGUAUAUAGGGGGAACGUUGUGAACUGAAACAUCUAAGUAGCAACAGGAAGAGAAAGAAAAAUCGAUUUCCUAAGUAGCGGCGAGCGAAAGGGAAAAAGGCCAAACCAAUGAGCGUGCUCAUUGGGGUUGAGGACUGCAGAAUCCAUUGACAAAGGAUAGUCGAAUUGUUUUGGGAAAGCAAACCAAAGAAGGUGAAAGUCCAGUAGACGAAAUCUAGAGUCAGGAGGCAGGAUCCAGAGUACCACGGGACACGAGAAACCCUGUGGGAAGCCGGGGGGACCACCCCCCAAGCCUAAAUAUUCCUUGAUGACCGAUAGUGAAUAAGUACUGUGAAGGAAAGGUGAAAAGAACCCCGGGAGGGGAGUGAAAAAGAACCUGAAACCCUUUGUUUACAAACAGUGGGAGUUACGUUAGUAACGACUGCGUACUUUUUGUAGAACGGUCCGGCGAGUUACAUUUGCAAGCGAGGUUAAUUAGUAAGAAGCUAAGAAGCCGAAGGGAAACCAAGUCUGAAAAGGGCGACAAGUUUGUAGGUGUAGACCCGAAACCGGGUGACCUAUCCAUGAGCAGGUUGAAGUUACCGUAAAAGGUAAUGGAGGACCGAACUCGUAUCUGUUGAAAAAGGUUGAGAUGACUUGUGGAUAGCGGAGAAAUUCCAAUCGAACCCGGAGAUAGCUGGUUCUCCUCGAAAUAGCUUUAGGGCUAGCCUUGUGUUAAUCUACUGGAGGUAAAGCACUGAAUUGGUGCGGGGCCUUCGCGGGUUACCAAAUCAUAUCAAACUAAGAAUGCCAGAUAGAUGAUGCACAGGAGUCAGACUAUGUGAGAUAAGUUUCAUAGUCAAAAGGGAAAGAGCCCAGACCGACAGCUAAGGUCCCAAAGUGUGUGUUAAGUGGAAAAGGAUGUGAGAAUUCGAAGACAACUAGGAUGUUGGCUUAGAAGCAGCCACGCAUUUAAAGAGUGCGUAACAGCUCACUAGUCGAGAGUUUUUGCGCCGAAAAUGUCCGGGGCUAAAACACACCACCGAAGCUACGGAAUUGUGCGUAAGUGCAAUUGGUAGAGGAGCAAUCUGCAAGGAAGAAGCCUAACUGAAAGGGAGGGUGGACGAAGCAGAAGAGAGAAUGCCGGAAUGAGUAGCGAGAUAUAUGUGAGAAUCAUAUAGGUCGAAUGUCUAAGGUUUCCAGAGUAAAGCUGAUCUGCUCUGGGUAAGUCGGGACCUAAGGCGAGGUCGAAAGACGUAGUCGAUGGACAACUGGUUUAAAUUCCAGUACUACUAAUAAUCAGAACUGUGGGGACACAGGAGGAUAGGAAAACCGAGGAAAGGAAAUACUCGGCUAAGCACAAAGCUGUGUGUAUGAUGAAAAACACAUACAUGAAGGUGAAGUGUGAUAGGGAGUGAAGAGAAGUAGCGAAGUUUCUGAAUCCACACUGUCAAGAAAAGCCGCUAUAGAGUUAUUAGUACCCGUACCGCAAACCGACACAGGUAGACGAGGAGAAAAUCCAAAGACCGACGGGAGAAGUGUUGUUAAGGAACUCGGCAAAAUGACCCCGUAACUUAGGGAGAAGGGGAACCAACGAGAGUUGGUCACAGAGAAGAGGCUCAAGCGACUGUUUAGCAAAAACACAGGUCUCUGCGAAACCGAAAGGUGAAGUAUAGGGGCUGACACCUGCCCGGUGCUGGAAGGUCAAAAGGAGAGGUUAGGGAAACCCCGAAGCUUUGAAUUCAAGCCCCAGUAAACGGCGGCCGUAACUAUAACGGUCCUAAGGUAGCGAAAUUCCUUGUCGGGUAAGUUCCGACCCGCACGAAAGGCGUAACGAUUUGGGCACUGUCUCAACGAGAGACUCGGUGAAAUUUUAGUACCUGUGAAGA